CGCGUGCGUUCGGCUACGCCCCGGAGAGCAGUAAUUGUACGGUGUUGCAGCUUCAACUGCAUCUGCCAUGGAGGCACGCGAAAUAUCAUCUUUUUAUCAUUCGCACUGUUAUUAAUUUAAUUCGCUACAAAUACAAGGUAUAUUUCUCACGCGGACCCUGAGCUUCAGGACAUCACAGUCGUAAACACAACCGGGACCACGCGAGAAUGAUAGAGAGAGAUCAGCUAACGGGUUCAGGAGACAAAUGGUGAGGCGCCAUGGCGCGUGAGCGAGGGUGAGGUACUGAGAGAGGAGCGGAGGGGGGAUGCGUCGAGACGUCGUCUGCGCAUCCCGUCGAGACUACGCUUUGAUCUGUUGGUGAAGGAUUGAGAGUGGCUAGAGGUGAUAUCACUAAAGAAACGCAUGGGUCAGCCAUCGCGAAGCUCAAUCUCAACCCGGCCCACGCCUCCGCCGCCAGUUUGACCAUUUGAAUGAACACGACAUACUUUACGACGUAUGAUACAAGAAUAUGGACAUACAAGAAGAGUUUCGUCCAUCAUCUGAGUUUAUAAGCUCUGUGGAAGUUUGUGGGGGGCUGUGUCGCGGUUUAUUUGCGCGUCCAGCGUUAAAAGCCGCGUCUGUACCUAGUACUAUUUAGCGAUUUUAUAUAGCGAGCGCCGCGGGACGGAAUUUCGACGGAUUUCUCGAUCAUACCCGAUGAACGCAUUCGCGUUUGGCUUCAAAUUAGGAAGUUAAUGUGUUGCGUUUUUCGAUAUUUUUUUUAAUUAGUCAAAAACACAAUCUAGUCCAAUGAAACGUCCCUCAGCUUCGAAGGGUUGUCCAGACUGGUGUCGUAGUUAUCAUUACCUAGAAGUUGCUGCAGCCUGGUUGCAAGUUAUUUAUGAUAAUACUUAACAUUUUCCCUCGAUUUUAAUCAGGAAAGAUAUAAAAUGCUUAUGAGAAUUGAUCCUUCAGAGAACGGGCUAAAAGUAAGAUUGCCUGAAAGAAUUGAUAACAGACACGAAAACAGGUGAUACCUAAAAGCUUUGCUAAAAACCACAACACAUUUAAAUCAGUCGCAUAGUGCGCACGCGCCUUACCACGUGGACAUAAAUUAAUUCACAAACGUAUGACAUUUGUUAUUUAUUUAAACGACUGUUUGCAUCAGAUAAUACGAUUCCCACAAUCAAAUAGUAUUUAAUUCCGCAAACUGCCUCGAAAGGUCAAAGACAGGAAGAGGUGUGCAGUUGUUGCGAUACGAAUUAAAAUGUCAUUUGUUUUUAUAUUAUUCAGUUAGAAAGUCUGCUUAAACAAUCGUUGAGAUCUGUGUGAAUGAUUAAAAUAUGUUUCUUUAUAUUCAUUUUGUUUUUAUAAAGUUUGUUGACAUAGGAAUAACGUUCAUUAUUACUAACAUUUACUCGUAAAUGUUAGUAAUAAUUUUUUAAUAAUAGUUUUUUAAUAAUUUAGUAAUAGUUUUACAACUAGCGGCCCGUCCCGGCUUCGCUCGGGUAAUUACAAAAUAAAAUAUAAGUACACCUAAACCUUCCUCAGGAUUCCUCAAACAUUCCUCAGGUUUUCAUCAAUAGACAACUUUAUCUAUUGAUGAAAACGCAUAAAAAUUCGUACAGUAGUUUUUGAGUUUAUCGCGAACAGACAGAUGCGGCAGAGAACUUUGUUUUAUAAUAUAUAUGGAUGGGAUUGAUAUUUGUUUCCCUAUCACGCGUUUACUGUAACGUUCCCCGAAUAUAAUUGCAUAUGUUAAUUUCUCUUUGAAAAUAAUUAUAUUUCAUAAUUAGUACUAAACUUUUUUUUUUAAAUUAUUCAAAAUCAAAAACAAUACGAAUGAUUUAUAUAGUAGUAUUAGAUAAAAAAGGUAAUAUGAAACAUGUCAAUGUACUCAAUUAUUUACUUAAAUAUUUUUAAGUUGACAAUGGUAUGAUGAUUCAGGAGUAUUCUCUCGUGCAUAAAAGAGAUUGGCGUGAGCUCACAAAUCACUUCUCCAGCCAAUAAAUUCACUCGGUCCAUUACAAUGACACCGACACAUGUAUCGCUGUCAAACGCAACAUUGUAGACGUUUACGCGACUGGCUGAAAAAGACAGUAUAGUUUUUCAGGAUUCAAUUGGGUACGCUUUUGAGGGCCUAUAUUUGGAAUUUUUAAUUGUAGACCACAAUUUAUUCGUACCACGUUAAAACUGCGUUUUUUUUGGCCUAUUUGAAAAUCCACUUGUUUUCUCUGUCGUCCUCCUUACUAUUUUCCCUCCGCCACGCUUCGACAUUGUAAUAACCAGACCAUUCAAAUUCAAAUUCAAAUUCAAAUCAUUUAUUCAGAAAUUAGACCUUCACAGGCACUUUUUCCCGUCAAUCUUUAUAUUUAUAGUUAUUUCUCACAAGCUACAAACUACUGGCAUUUCGGAACGACCACUGCCGAAAGAAACUCAUUUGAACAGUGUUGGUCCCUAUCAUGCCAGAUCGGCUUACCAUUAUUGUUUCUUACAAUGUUUUUUUUUUCUUCAUUGACACGCUGAUCUUCCUAGACUAUGUCAAAAAAUCUAAACUACUCGUAUAAUGAAGUUCAAAAGUGCUUUUGUUGUCUUAUUUAAUAAGUCGUAUAUGUAAAUCGCUUCUUACAGAUUAAAAUAUGAAGGCUGAAAAGACGUGCAAAUGCCGGGUGAAGAAUACGAGUCUGUAUGAUCUAGACUUUUGUCUAAAAGAAGGAAAUUUUAUUUUUAAUUCAAUGAUGUUUGUGUAAUUAGUUAUUAAUCGGUUAAUUUGGCUAUAUUCAAAAAUAAGUAUUUGUCCUCCCCGCACAGGAUGCAGACGUAAUGCAGACAAUCUCAGUCUAGACUCACAGAAAUAAUUGGCUGCAUUUAGCAGACGUCGGUAUAUUUAGUGCGGUAUAAUUAGACGUUGCUAAGUUAGGGCGGCCUUACGGGGCCUUGGUGGUUAGCCUAGCAAAGCCCGCGGGUUUGCUUGAUUAAGAAUCCUAAUUUUAUAAAUUAAAAUGUUAUCUCUAUAUGCUUUAUCGAGUUGUUAUCGUGAAGGACGUAGGCUACCUUUCAUCCCGGGACAAGUUCUCGUGGGAAAAUUACGCGAAAAAAACAAUAAAUAGCCAGCGAAUAUUGAAGGAAACAUAAUUUAGAGCACAGUGUUAUUGGAAUGGCCAUUUUUACUAGCUCAUAGCGGUGGCACCAGUCAACUUUGAUGUUGAUUUUAACCCGCGCGCCUCGUCUCCACCGUUUAGAUAAUAUGGCGUACUUUACGUUUUUCUGCGGUUAUAGUUAACGUCAAAAUUUACUUAUGCACCUCAGCUUUUUAUUCUUCUAAAACCAGCAAUAACAACAAAAAAAUAUUUGCUAAAAUAUACAAACACAUCAUUUCUGAAACGAUCGAACGAAUUGGAGCAUGUCCUGAAAAAAAUAGGAAAUAUUAGACACAAAAGCUUUGCGGAAAUAUAUUGAGUCAAGUCAUCCCAUCCACUCCACCCCUAGCCUGUAACGACUAUGAUAAAUGCCCAGUAGUAAUAUCAUAAAAUAUGAGCCUUAUAUACAAAUAGAUACUUCGUUCUAUAUAUGUUACACAUUUAGGUUUGACGUUAGGCAGGCAGCCGAUUCUUAAAAAAAUUAAAGGUUCUUCAAUACGCGGCCCAGGCCUCGGACGUCACAGCUGCGAAUGAAACCAGGAAUAUACGAGAGGAUAUUAAGAGAGAGACAUGACUCUGUUGAGGAGGAUGUAAAGGCGUUAGGGUUGGUCGCGAGUUUGACAGGAAAUACAGAUUGACAAGUCUGAUGUCGCAAUAUAUGUUUUCUUCCCACGAAGAAAAUGGGUCGUUCCUACGAGCGUGUCUAACGCCGCAGCUGCAUUAUUACAAAUGUUUCAAAUUUUAAAGAUCAGAAUCAAUUUUCUGACUUUAUGAAAUAAUUGACCUAUGCUUGGGUACCUAUUGUUUACAUAUUUGUUUUUAGAAAUCCCUUCCUCAAUUUUAUAUUUCAAAUAUAUUCAUUAUUUUAUUUUUAUUCAAUUGAAUUUGUAUCCCUUUUGACAUAGCCUGAAAAAUAGUCUGAUUGUUACUGAUUAUAGUCUACAAGAAUUCUUUCCGAGUUUCCUUCAAAGAUUGAGGGUUGCGUCAUGAAGCGUUGAUCAUAAACCUUACAGUUUAUGGUCUCUCUACCCAUAGAGCGGUCGUCAACACUCGUGACUGCAACUUAUUUAGUGAUGGGGCAAGUAUCGAUAAAUAGUGCCAAUAUAUAUUUUUUACUUUAUCGAACAUAAAAGUGGUGGACUUAUAUUGACAUAAUUAUGAAAAGGGGAACUGCAGUAAAAAGCUUAGUAAAUGAUUAAAAUGAACAAAAGGAGCUAGGAGAUGAACAAAAGGAGCUAGGAGAUGAACAAAAGGAGCUAGGAGAUGAACAAAAGGAGCUAUUAAACACUGUUACAAACAAAUACUAGGAACACUGGAGCCAAAUUUCAUCAAAAUAAUAGUAGUGGUUUUUGUUUCGUUGCAAAAAUAAUAAAAAGUAAUUCCUAUUUAUAAUCCUCGCAUAUUAUACGAAGUGUCCGUUUCGCGUCUGUCUGUAUGAACUCAAAAACUACCGGACGGACUUUUGCACGGUUUUCACUAAUAGAUAGUGUGGUUUUUGAGGAAAUUUUAGGUGUAUAAUUUAAUAUGGUUUUACCUGAGCGAAGCAGGGACAGGUCACUAGUUUUUUUAUAAAAAAAAAAACAACAGAUGAAAGCAAUAGAAAAAUAAGGGGAUAUCAAGUUUGUGUCUCAUCUCUGUCGUAUCACUAAUUGGCAGAAAUGCCGCCUAGACACUUCAGGGUGAUUUACAAGGGAUGAGAGCAGUACAACGGCCAUAACCCCAAGAUUCAAGGGAUGCUUGCCAAGUUCCGACAUCCAGUUAUGACGUUAUGAAGUCUGAGAGGACAGUGAACCCAAUGUCACGGUCAAGUGGACAGUAUAGUGCUCUGCUUGAUGGAUACAUUAUUUGAGCAAUGGAGUCCAGAAGCGAACUCAUGAGUGGAUGGAUGUAGAAGUAUGUAAAAAGGUAUGCUAGCCUCCACAUAAAAUUGUCAAUUUAAGAUAAGUUUAAUUUUAAGAGAAUGUAUUUAUAAACUAGUUGUACGGCGUGAACUUGACCUCGCGAACACAUUAAAUUUUUACAAAACUGUGAAUUGUAUUUCUGUACUGUACUUCAAAAACGGCUUAACCGAUUUUAUUGCUCCACGAACUUAAAAUUCUAUUGGCAGAUCCUACAUACCUUUUAAAUUUCAUCAAAAUCGGACCAACGGUUCGAAAGUUAUCGCGUUACAAACACACAUACAUACAAAAGUGUAUAUUUGCCCAAAGUAGAAUUGUAGAUCUCGCUCGCACAGUCAAUGAUAAUAUGGACUGUUUGUCUGAAAUAAACAAUUUUAGUAUGCUUCCCAUCAGGCUAGAUUGAAGUCAAAUUUUCUGAUGCUGAUAAUUGGGUGGUUUGUAAAGGGCGAUGAUGAUCACAUGUUUUGAUGUCCCCACUGCUGGAGUAUUUGCCUCCGCAAUUACGACAGUGGCUUAUCCGCCAUUGCGCUAUUGACCUCUAUAAUGAUUACCGCUAAAAGCUGACGCAUUUAUUUUCAACUAUCUGAUUAAACACAUGUGGUCUCAUGGUUAAGUCGAAAGCAGGAGAGAUUGUGAUUUUCUAGAUCAUUUUGUAUGACAAAAUUAAACAAUAACUAAGGUCGUUGUCAGGUCUUGGAUGGGUGGGCGAGACUCCCGACCUCGCUGAUAUGGGCACGGCAGAUUCGCUACGAUUAUUUAUCGUCGAUGCCAAUCAUGUGAGCAUAUUUUGUAAUAUAUGAUCGAAUGAGUCGUCGCAUAAUGUCUCGCUAAAUUAAAAACAUGGUAUUAGAUAGAAGAAUUGCGUCAUCGAAUUAGAGAGCGUGCGAAAGUUAGGAAAUAUUCAAGAUUUGAUAAAUUAAUAAUUAAUAAAUUUUAAUAAUUUUA
This is a long non-coding RNA of Plodia interpunctella (Indianmeal moth), 5962 nucleotides long. RefSeq lists it as uncharacterized. NCBI's taxonomy places the organism in Eukaryota, Metazoa, Arthropoda, Insecta, Lepidoptera, Pyralidae. The record is from RefSeq and is a predicted model, not a curated record. The transcript has 4 exons.